GAUGAACGCUAGCGACAGGCCUAACACAUGCAAGUCGAGGGGCAGCACGAGGUAGCAAUACUAGGGUGGCGACCGGCGGACGGGUGAGUAACACGUAUGCAACCUGCCCGUAAUCGGGGGAUAACCCGGAGAAAUUCGGACUAACACUCCAUGUAUCUGUAUUAUUGCAUGAUAAAACAGAAAAACGCAAGGAUUACGGAUGAGCCCGCGUACCAUUAGCUAGUUGGCAGGGUAAUGGCCUACCAAGGCUACGAUGGUUAGCUGGUCUGAGAGGAUGGCCAGCCACACUGGAACUGAGACACGGUCCAGACUCCUACGGGAGGCAGCAGUGAGGAAUCUUGCGCAAUGGGGGAAACCCUGACGCAGCAACGCCGCGUGAGUGAGGAAGGCCUUCGGGUCGUAAAGCUCUGUCCUUGGGGAAGAAGGCGAAAGCUUGACGGUACCCAAGAAGAAAGCCCCGGCUAACUACGUG
RNAcentral lists this ribosomal RNA (472 nucleotides) under uncultured bacterium. RNAcentral describes it as "bacterial SSU rRNA". It matches the Rfam family "Bacterial small subunit ribosomal RNA", at positions 28 to 507 of the family's 1533-position model. The record is from RNAcentral.